RNAcentral lists this long non-coding RNA (501 nucleotides) under Homo sapiens (human). RNAcentral describes it as "HSALNT0202290". The record is from RNAcentral. Lineage: Eukaryota; Metazoa; Chordata; Mammalia; Primates; Hominidae.
CUGCUAUCAAGAGCCACGCAGUUCAGGAGGAGUCAGGAGAAGAGAGAAUGAGAUAAUUUUAUUUUUCCUGCAUCUUUUAAACAUGUGAGCUGAGCUUAAAGCAAGAUUUUAUCACUUCAACUUCCUCUUCAGGAGAGAGGAGAGAAAUCAGCUGUCUUGGGGCCAGCUUUUAUUUCUGAUGAUUAUUGUCUCUUACCUGGAUGACUGGGUAGGGACCAUUUCUGGCCUGGGUGACUUUGGCAUCUAGAUACUUGCAUACAUCUGGAGCCAUCUGCAGCUGGUGAAAAAUAACCCACCACAUAAAACACCACAGCUAGUGAACAUUUCCCACCUUUUAUCCUCUGGCUUCAUAGGGCUGUGACAGAUGGUGCCCCAGCAGGGACUAUGCAGCUCAACUGCCAAAGGGGAGCGUUAGCCAUCGUGAUGGUCCUGACUUCAGAUCUGGGGAUUUGAAUGUCUCAGGAGGGUAAUCUGAAUUUGAGGAGAAGGCCAUGGAGAUGU